GCCGGGAGUCGUGACGGGCUCUUGUAAACCAGCUUCUAGGUGGCUUAGGAUGGGGAAGGUCUGCCUAUCGGGUUGACACUUGUCUUCCUGGUGUCGUUGACCGAGUGUCCGUGCCAAGCGUAGCGUCGAUAGACCAUCAGUGGGGGAGCCCGUUGGUGAUCGGUCGUAGGUGGUUUACUGCCUAGUAAAGAGAGAUGGAUGGCUCAGGCCCGUGAGGGAGCAGGCAAAAGUCUCCGCGCUAUGACAGUGGCCGGAUGGCACACGCGAGGCAUUGGGUUUCAUGUGCCGGUAGUAUAUGGUCCCACUCAUUCUUUU
Strongyloides papillosus is the source of this 315-nucleotide non-coding RNA. NCBI's taxonomy places the organism in Eukaryota, Metazoa, Nematoda, Chromadorea, Rhabditida, Strongyloididae. The record is from Rfam.